This 5931-nucleotide long non-coding RNA is filed under the name Homo sapiens (human). RNAcentral describes it as "HSALNT0133840". The record is from RNAcentral. Lineage: Eukaryota; Metazoa; Chordata; Mammalia; Primates; Hominidae.
CCUUAGAGACAAAUAUUUUUUGUAUGGAUAAGCAGUUGUAACCUGGAUUAGCAGACAAGAGUCUCUUUUUUCUAUUCACCUCUUCCCUGUUUUCUUCCCUUCACUCCUAAAUCCUUCAUGUACUACAGGCACCUGGAGGGUGCCUCUAGCUGGAAUGAUUUUGGAUGAUCUAAGUUGAUGGUUUAAACUUUACCUCUGUCUUUAACCUCCCAGUGAUAGAAGUUCUUGGAAAACUUACCAAGCAGUAGAUCUCCUUUCCCUAAGGUGCAGGACAAGAUCACAAGGCUAGGAGUCAAACAAUCUGGGAGGUUUUGACUUUUCUUCUUCUUUUUUUUUUUUUUUUUUUUGAGGCUGAAUCUCGCUACAGGCAUGCACCACCAUGCCCAGCUAAUUUUUUUUUAGGGACUGGAUCUUGGCUAUGUUGCCCAGGCUAGUCUCGAACUCCUGGCCUCAAGCAGUCUUCCUACCUUGGCUUUCCCAAGUGGCUGGGAUAAUAGGUGUGGACCACUAUGCCAGGCUAAUUCUGAAUUUUGUUAUGUGACCUUGGAUAAGCCCUUUUCUUCCUUAAAGCAUUUGUAUCAGAAUGAAGCUAAGCAGGUUUCUUCACUGCAGCAUUUUUUUUUUUUUUGAGACGGAGUCUUGCUCUGUUGCCCAGGCUGGAGUGCAGUGGCACGAUCUCAGCUCACUCACUGUGUCAUUUUUAAAGAGAAAUUUCUACGUUAAUGUGCAAGAGAACCUCCAGUUGGGAAAUGGGUAUAGUUUUUCUAAAGCUUCUUUGACCACAGAACAUUUUUUGUUACUGGAUCAUCUGGUGGAUUGGUGAUAUGAGAAAUACGUUUUGAUAAAGGGUAGGAAGGAUGAUUUCUAGGGUCAUCUGGCUCUAGCAUUUUAGGAUUUUGUUUCCUAGUCCAGAAACUGGAGCCAGCUUCCAAAGGAUGACUUGGCAAUACAGGCCUCUCUGCCCACCAGACUCUCCUACUUCUGCCCCCAACUUCUGGCCAGAUUCGAGGAGAUGCGAAACAUUGCCUGGCAUCCUCAGAAGCCCUGCCCUUUGGAAAUCUGCCAGACAAGAAUAGGAAUGGAGUGAUCUCUGGAGCCUGCUCCCUCCCUGCUGCAUCCAGCUGCACUUAGCAUUCAGCUCCUGGCCUUCCCCAGCGCAGCAAUUACAUGCUCAGCAUCCACCUCAGAAAUAUGGUAAGAAAGUUGGUGGUUGGUUGUUGCCACUGGCCUACGGCUUUUGUCCAGAGAAGACGGGAAUGGGGGUCCAGUUACCCAACCCCUUCAGAACAGAUGGUUUCUCAUGCCCAUGGACCUUGGUUACGGAGUGUGAACAGGAUUCUCCUAAAUAUUUCAACUUCGGAAGACCGGAUUGAAAGUCAUCUCAAUUAAGCAAGGACUGAGAGUGUGCAAAUAUUAUUUGAACGUUGGUUAACUUUUCCUUAAAUGGAAAUGAAUGAGCAGUAAAGUCACUUUGAUGAAUCUUAUACAGAGCCUCUGUCCCAGAGUCCUGAAACUUCACCUGAUGGUCAUAAAGAAUCAAAGUAAGUCCUUUGCGAGGCUGCGUUGUGUUGGGGUGGGUGGGUGAAGGGUCCUUUCAAAUUCUGUAGAUCCCAGUACAUUGCAUCUACAGGGUAUGUGUUUAAAUGAGGGGUAGUUGACCCACAUAACUCCCCACCCUCCUGCCUCAUGGUUAGAAUGUAUGUUCAUUGGGGAUUCUGCAUACAUUUUCAUCACAUAUCUACUUUUCUGGCUUUUAAGUAAUAUCCUCUCCUUUGUUUUUGCCAACAGUGUUCAUGAAUAGUGAAUGUAGGAAAGCAUUAUCAUUGCUAUGUUUUAUUUUCACACUGUAUCUCAGUAUCAGCCCAUACUUUCAAUGUACUAACAACUGUCACUGAGGCAAAAAGUUUUAAUUAAGCUCACACAUGAUUAUUUUCCAGCAAACAGAGCCUAAUUGAUGAAAUUGCUAACUGUACUUCCAGGUGCAGUCAGUAGCCAGUAGUGCAUUGUUAGUAUGCAAUAUGGCAUGGGCUGUUACAUGGUGUGAUACUAGAUUAUAUAUUUACUAUGAACGUAUGUAUUGUUCUUUAAUGACAUCUAUUUGUUCAUUCCAAAAAUAUUUAUUGAGCACGGACUCUGUGCCAGUUAUUAGUUAGAGUAAUAAUAGCUGCUGUGGCAAAUGAAUUUCCUCACCUAAGAAAAAUAAAAGUUAAUUAUUUUUUCUCCACAUAAAGGUCUAGAAUGUUCUGCCGCAUGCCUUCCAUGUCAUGAUUCAGGGACCCAGGCUCCUUCCAUCUUGUGGCUGCCCCAUCCACUAGGUUCUCAGACUCUUUCAUUUCCAACUGGUGGUUGUUGAAAGAGAGGGUGAUGAAGGUGUACCCCACUUACAUCUUACCCACUUUCACCUAGAAGUGGCACAUAUCACUUUUAUUGACGUUUCAUUAGCAAGAAUUGUCCUGCAACACACUUGGAGGAAGGCAGCUGGGAAAUGCUGUCCCUGGCUGUGCACAGGGACAUAUGUAUUUUAUGUAUUUUAUGAGACUCUUUGCAGGAUAGCUGGCUAUCUCUGCCACAGCUGGCCAUGUCUGCCAUGGCUAGACAUCAUUUCAGGCUCUAGGGAAAUAGCAGUGAAGAGAAACAGACAAAAAUAUCUGACCUCAUGGAGCAUAAAUUCUUGAAUUAAAAUUCUUAAAUUCUUCAUGGGAUGAGACAGACAAUAACCAGGCUAAAUCAGUAUGUUGCAAAGCAGUGAGAGCUGCUAAAACUAAGCAGAAAAAGGGGUACAAAGCAUGAGAGAGAAGGAUUUGAGAUGAGAUAGUGUGGUCAUAGAAAGCCACACUUUCUAUCAGCAUGAGAGAAAAGCUAAAGCAGGAAAAGGGGUAGAAAGCAUGAGAGAAAGGUUUGAGAUGAGUUAGUGUGCUCAUAGAAAGCGUCUUGAAAGAAAUGAUAUUUUAAGUAAAGAAUCAGAGAGCAUAAGGUGUCCAACUAGGUGAAUAUCUAAAGCAAAAACAUUCCAGAUGGAGAGAAUAGCAGGUAAAAGGACUCUGAAGCUGGUGAAGAUAAUAAGGGUGAGAAUAAUAGAAGGUGAGAUCGGAGAGGCAAUCGUCAGGCCAGACUGUGUCGGGCCAUUUAGGUCAUAGUAAAAAUCUGGGCUUUUUUUUUUGUUUUUUUUUUUGUUUUUGUAACUAACUUUAUUGAACUAUGAUUUUCAUAAAAUAUACCCAUUCGGUAGGUUUUAAAAAAUGUAGACAUGAAGACAUUCAUAUAAUCACCACUACAAUAAAAAUAUAGAACAUUUUUAUCAUCCCCUAAAAGUAUCCCUAUUUAUAGUUCAUACCUGGCCCCAAGCAAUCACUGAUAUGCCAUCACAGAUUAGUUUGUUUUUUCUAGGAUUUCAUACAAAUGGAAAGGAACAGUAUGUACUCUUCUGUGUCUGUAUUCUGUCACUCAACAUAAUGCUUUUGAGAUUCAUUCAUAUUGUUGUCAGUAUCACUACUUUAUUUCUAUUUACUGCCAUUAUAUGAAUUCUAUUAUGUGGAUAUACCAUAAUUUAUUUAAUCUUUCACCUACUGAGAGGCAUUUGAGUUGUUGAUAAUUUGGGGCUGCUAUGAAUAAAUCUGCUAUGAACAUAAUGUGCAGUUCUUUUUUGUGGACAUAUAUUUUCAGUUUUCUUACAUCCAGGAGUGGAAUUGCUGGAAACCAUAAGGUAAGUAUUGGUUUAAGUUUAAAGAAACUGUCACUGUUUUCCACAGUGGUCAUGGCUUUUCACACGUCCACCAGCAAUGAAUGUGAGUUCCAGUUGUUCCAUAUCCUCACCAACCCUUGUUGUUGGCAGUCUUUUAAAUUUAAACCGUACUAGUGGGUGUAGAGUAAUAUAUUAUUGUAGUCUUAGUUUGCAUUAAUCUAAUGACCGUGAAUGUUGAACACCAUUUCACAUGCUUUUGAUCAUUUAUACAACUUCUUUUGUUAAGUGUUCAAAUCUUUUGCUUGUUAAAAUAAUUUUUUUGUCCUAUUGAGUUGAAAUAAUGUUAAAAAUAUUUUCUUGAUGUAAGUCCUUUGUCAGAUCUAUGCAGUCCAUGAAUUAUUUUCUCCUAGCCUGUGGCUUGCCUUUUCUCUUUCCUAAUAGUACCUUUCAAAGAGUAUAUGGUCUUAGUUUUGAUGAAGUAAAAUGUAUUUUAUUUUUUGCAUAGUUAAUGCUUUUUGUGUUCUAAAGAAUCUUUGCUUAGAUGUUAAAGAUUCUCAAGUUCUAAAGACUUCCUUUUGUUUUCUUCUAGAAUUUAAUUUUUAUUUAUUUUUUUUAGUUCUAGAUUUAACCUUUAGGUUUGUUAUCUAUUUCAACUUAAUUUUAGCAUAUAGUGUGAAUUGAGGGUUAACAUAUAUUUAUUUAUUUAUUUUUUACAAUGCAGUUAUCUAGUUGUUUUAGCACAGUGUAUCAAAAGAACUAUUGAAUUACCUUUUUGAAUUACCGUGGCAGCCUUCUUGAAAAUCAAUUUACCUUACGGUAAAUAUGGUAAAUUUGUAACUCUAUUUCUGGACUCUCUAUUCUGUUCUACUCAUCUAUAAAGCAUUUUUUCACCUAUACCACAUUGUCUUGAUUACUCUUGCUUUAUUGUGAGUCCUGAAAUCAAAUAGUUUAAGCUUUUCAAGUCUAUCCCCUUUUUUGAAAAUUGAUUUACUAUUUGGUUCUUUGGAGGUUGUUAAUUUCUUUUUUUUUCUUUUUUUUUUUUUUUUUUUUUGAGAUGGAGGCUUGCUCUGUCGCUGAGGCUGGAGUGCAGUGGCGCUAUCUCGGCUCACUGCAAGCUCUGCCUCCCGGGUUCACACCAUUUUCCUGCCUCAGCCUCCUGAGUGGUUGGGACUACAGGUGCUCACCACCACGCCCGGCUAAUUUUUUGUAUUUUUAGUAGAGACAGACUUUCACCGCAUUAGCCAGGAUGGUUUCGAUCUCCGGACCUCAGGAUCCGCCCACCUCGGCCUCCCAAAGUGCUGGGAUUACAGGUGUGAGCCACCGUCCCCGGCCUGGAGGUUGUUAAUUUCUACCAAGAAGUCUUCUCAGCUUUUAACAGAAGUUGCAUUGAAUACAUAGAUCAUCUUGGGGGAAAAUUAACGUUUUAACAAUAUGGAUCUUUCCAACUGUGAGUACUAUACUCUCUAUUUAUUUAAGCCUUCUAAAUUUCUCCCAGCAGUAUUUUGUAGUUUUUGGUGUAUAAAUCUUGUAUACAUUUUGUUAAAUUUGUACCUAUGUGUGCCAUAUUUUUGGAGCUACUAUAAAUAGUAUUUUUAAAAAUUUUAUUUUCUAAUUGUUCAUUGCUGUCAUAUAGAAAAAAUUUGAUUUUUGAAUAUUGCUUCUGUAUACUGCACUCUUGCUCAAUUCACUUAUUAGUACAAUUAGCUUUAUUUGAAUUGGGCCUUAUACAACAUAAGAAGUAUUUUGGCUUUUAUGCUGAUGAAUCAUAUGGGGGUAUGAGAGCAAACAUUUUUGGAUCUUAGUUUUUGAACAUGUUAAAUAAAGGUAAACAUGAAAGACUGCUAGUUAAAUGUAUCUGGAAGUCAGAGAGGGGUCAUGGGUGAAUAUGUGCAUUUGAAAUCACUAGCUUAGCAAUGAUAGUUAAGCCAUAAAACUUAUUCAGAUCAUCAGUAUUUAGGAGUUAAUGAUGAGGAAUCAGCAAACCAGUUUGAAAAAGCAACAGUCAGAGAGGUAUGGGGAAAACCAGGUGAGUGUGAUACCUUGAAAACCAAGAGAAGAAAAUGUUUUAAGUAAAUUGCUUUGGGAGGCCGAGAUGGGCAGAUCACUUGAAGUCAGGAGUCCGAGACCAGCCUGGCCAACAUGGUGAAACCCUGUCUCUGCUAAAAGUACAAAAAAUAAAUAAAUAAAUAAAUAAAUAAAUAAAUAAAUAAAUAGCCAGGCAUGGUGGUGCAUGCCUGUAAUCCCAGCUA